Long non-coding RNA from Marmota flaviventris (yellow-bellied marmot), 3045 nucleotides. RefSeq lists it as uncharacterized. NCBI's taxonomy places the organism in Eukaryota, Metazoa, Chordata, Mammalia, Rodentia, Sciuridae. The record is from RefSeq and is a predicted model, not a curated record.
UCGUGCAGCAUUGGGCUGUGUCCCUGGCCUGGACGAGGUAUGGGCCAGCAGGAGGCUGCCUGUCUGCCACUCUGGGCUUCCCGCACACUGGAGGCGGUCACCCUAUGGAGCGGCAGUCACCCUGUGGAGCAGCUCUUCCCCUGGCCUGUGCCUUCAUUUGGGGCUCCCUGGCUCUCCCUUAGUGACCCCACAGCCGUUGGCUCCAGCCCUUUCAGCCCCCCACAUCCUGUUGUGCAUAAUUGGGGAAGAGUACAGGGCUGACUCCAGAGCAGGACAUCCACCCACACUGCCCCUCGGUGGGAAACAUGAAUAGAACAGCCUGCUGGAGGUGUCCACCAUCUUGCAGUGAGGAGGGAUGAGGGUAGAUGGCAGGUGGGUGGCCGGUGUGCAGACUCACCAUAGGCCAAGGCCCAGGACGGGGUGGCACAGACUGCCCUCCUUUCAGACGAGCAGUACUACCUUCCGGGUGUUGUGAGGGUCUGUUGAGGGCUGUGGGUGGCAUCAGUCCCAAGAGACUGAUUGAUCUAAGGAUGGGUGAAGUCAUUGCCAUCUGCGCCCACUCUUGAGAGACCUGGGUGGACCGCACAAGCCAGGUGAAGCAGGCCUGUGAGGAUGGCCCACCAGGGCUGUGGGUGCGUUCUUCGGGUGAGGUCCUGAGGCAGGGGGAUGUCUGCAGAGCGUUUUCAUUUACUUUAGUUUCAGAGGUCAUUUUCACUUUUUUUUUUUUUUACACAUUUCUGUGCCUAUUCUUUUCACUGUUAUAAAAAAGCUUUUGGGGGAGAAAUUAAGGAGGCAUGUAUCACUUGGAGCGGCCACAACACCCCUGCAUUAGAAUCUCUUCAUGGAGACCAGGACCCUCCCCAAGGCCUCCAGAUGGGGACUUCAGGUCCCCUGGUGAGCUUUUCAGGGACGUGGCCAGUUUGGUCUUGCUCUGAGGUCUGUCCCAUUACCCUGUCACCUUGUCUGUAGCUAAUGGCCCUGACUCUCCUGUCAGGCACCUAUCCAGUUGGCCCCGGCCCCAGGUCGUUGCCAACACCACCAGCGUGUGUGGUCAACCCCUGCCCAUCCUUCACUCAGAGGUCCAGGUGUCAGGGCUGGAGGGUGGUGAGAGCCCCAGGAGAAAGAAACUGGUGUGACCUGGGCAGGGGUGUUGGGUGGGGAGCUGCAGAAGUGCAAGUUCCUCCACCUGGGACUAAUUUCAGGCCUGCUGGUCCCCGUGGAGCCAGUGCGGGACUUCUCUUAUUGUCCUCAGGACUGACUCUGGCUGUGGCCGCUCCUUUGGCACUCUUCUGGCUGCCCUGCAGAGCCCCAGCCUCCCUGUAGCUCCCUCCCUGUCCCGUGCUCACACUGGCUCCUGUCUUGUGGAAGGGUCUGAGGAGCUUGGUGGUAUGUGGCCCUGGUCCUCCUGCCACCGUGGUGGAGCUGAGCAUAGCCAGGGAGCGUUGGAAACUUCCCAGCAGCAGCUGCCGCAUAUCCUGGGGUGGCUUGUCCCUGACUUGCCCCUUCAUGCCUUCCUUGUAUGAGUCUCUGUUCCUCCUCCACCUGCCAACCUCUGCUCACCCUUCAAGACCCCUCUGGAAGAUCCCUGCCUCUGCGAGGUCGCCUGCGGCCCUGUGUCACCACCUCCCUGGCCCCCAGGCUCCCUCGGUUCCUCUUCUACCCCAGGAGGUGAGCCAGGGAAGCUCCAGGAAAUGCCCCCUGCCCUUACCUUGCGCCCUGCUGUUGUGACUUCACUCCUUGGAAGUUCUGGAAGCCACCUACUGAACUGAGUCCAUGACCUCCAGCCCAGGACCUGACCACAGCUGGGCCCUCCCAGUGUGCCCUGUGCAGCUCAGUGGCCUGCUCGAAAGGCCCUCCAGCAGCUUAUCUUGCUGUGGAAAGGCUCCCAGAUCCUCCUGCCUCAGGCUCCCAAGUCAUGAGUUCUCCAGGGUCAUUUUCAAACUGACCCCCCUGGGGGAGGCCCAGUGUGGCUUCAAGCCCAAUGAUAAUCCCCCUCCACCCCACCCCGCUUCCAAGAAGUGCUGAGGGGCCCAAGACAGGACAAUGUGAGGGACACGCUGUCUUCCUGGACAGCCACCGGUGCCUCUUCUGCAGCCCCUCCCGCUUGCCAUCAAGGUAGGAGUCUACUCCCCACCCAUGGUGGUCCACCUUAGCGACUGGCCUGGAGUCGGAGGAGGCCCAGAGGACUGUGCUGUGUGGUUCUGGGCUCUCAGAGAAGCCGGCUGUUCUUAUGCUGGGAAGUCUCAUGGGGAGGCCAUGAGAGGGGCGCCAGUGGGUGGCCAGCCGGCCAUCUGAACUGUAAGUGCAGGAGUAAGGCACUGUGGGUCCAACCCCAGUACCAAAGAAAAGUGUGGCGGAUGGGGUGUGGUGACCUCUUCUGAGGCUGGGCCACAGCAUGCCUGGGUUUCCGCCUCCCUCUCGGGGAUCUCGGAAGACAAGCAGUCUCCCCUCAGCUGCCAUGCUGGGUGGGUCUUCUAGCAGUCCUGCUCCCAGCCUGCUAAGGAGGAACUGAGGCCUCCACAACAGCCAGCCAUCUGGGAACAGACCCUGAGCCCCUGUGAGGCUGCAUAGGGCUAGCCCUCGGGCAUCCUCUCUGGAGCUUCCCGAGAGACCUGAGCCUGACCCACCUUGGCAUGGGUCAGUCUGACGACAGAACUGGAGACAUUCGAGGUGCUGCUAUGGAGUGAGUUGUGUCUCUUGUUCAUGUGCUAAAGCCUGACCCUCAACACGUGCAAAGCUCCCUAGGAUGGGCCCUGCUAUGGUUGGUCUGUGGUAUCCCCCAGAAGCUCAUGAGAGACAGCCAGGACGCUCCAAGGUCAGAUGAUAGCCUGUGAGAGCCGCGGCUGCCUCAGCGGGUCAUCCCCUGGACUAGACUAGCUGGUGGGGACUGCAGCUAGUAUGUAGGGUGCGGCUGGAGAGGCUGGGUCCCGGGGAUGUGCCUUUGGGGUUAUAUUGUGUCCCUGGCCUGUAGCUUGCGCUCUCUCUGCUUCCUGGCCACCAUGAAUGACCAGCUGUCUGCCAUGCCCUUCCUCCAUGAUGCUCUGC